This 65-nucleotide transfer RNA is filed under the name Myrmecophilus kubotai. Its description in RNAcentral is "tRNA-Trp". The record is from RNAcentral. Lineage: Eukaryota; Metazoa; Arthropoda; Insecta; Orthoptera; Myrmecophilidae.
AAGGCUUUAAGUUAAAAAAACUAAUAGCCUUCAAAGCUGCAAAUAAAAUGGGAUUUUAAGCCUUA